Molecule: long non-coding RNA, 110 nt
Organism: Octodon degus (degu)
Lineage: Eukaryota; Metazoa; Chordata; Mammalia; Rodentia; Octodontidae
Exons: 3
Source: RefSeq, a predicted model, not a curated record
UAUCUUAGCACCUACGGAUGAGACCAGAGCACCUGUUCCAAGGAACUCCAUGGCAACAUCGUCGUGAGGCUUUCCAAGCCUGCAAAAAAGGAGCAAAGACUGAGGGUGAG